Molecule: long non-coding RNA, 1275 nt
Filed under: Macaca mulatta (Rhesus monkey)
Lineage: Eukaryota; Metazoa; Chordata; Mammalia; Primates; Cercopithecidae
Description: lncRNA (ENSMMUG00000061132.1)
Source: RNAcentral
ACACACCAGUGGACUGGUUUCCUUGCUAAGUGCAAAUGUCACAGGGACACAUGGCACCCUCCAGAGCUCCCAUCUAGCCUGCUCCUUCUUAGACUUAUCCAGUGUCAACUGAUGCCGCAUCUCAUGCUUCACAGAAAGAUAAAAACCAUCACAUGGGGACUUGCUGCUUAUCUGUCACAUUUCCCUGCUACUGCAGCUAUGUAUCUGUCCUAAAUUAAAGCUGGUCCUACACCGGUGCAGUGGCUCAUGCCUGUAAUCCCAGCACUUUGGGAGGCCAAGCAGGGUAGAUCAUCUAAGAGCUCAAGACCAGCCUGGGCAACAUAGACAAGCCUGGGCAAACUUGUCUCUCCAAAAAAUUAGUUGGGUACAGUGGUGCGUGCCUAUGGUCCCAUCUACUUGAGAGGCUGAGGUGGGAGGAUCGCUUGAGCCCAGGAGGCAGAGGUUAUAGUGAGCCAAGUUCGUGCUAUUGCACUCCAGCCUGAGCAACAGAGCAAGACCCUGUCUUAAAAAAUAAAUAGAGCCGGUCUUCCUGUUGGGCUGGAUGGACAACCCCACCUGCCUGCCCACCAGGGAUUUUGCCCCUGCAGUUGUCCCCUUUCCUUCUUCUAUCACUAAUCCUUCAUUUUUAUUUGACCUUUCCUGGCAGUUUGCGAAGAACAGGCUGGGUUCUGCCUGGAGAGAGGCUUGGUUCUCUAGUCUCCUUUAGGGUAAAUGGAGGCAGAUGCUCUGAUUCUGAUGUGAGGCAGCUGCACCAUGAGGUUGUGGGAGAGUAGCAGCGUCUGGUGGGCAUGAACUGUGGUGUCAGAACUUCCAGUCCCAGCACCACUACUUCUUAGUGUUCGCUACCAUGAAGCAGUUCUGUAGCUUCCCUGAGUCUCACUUUCCUCUUCUGUAAAAUGAGGACAGUGGUGGGGCCUGCCUUAGAGGAGCACUGGGCGGCCCUCCAAGUGCCCCAGGCUGAGCGUCACUCCUUGCUGCACCUCAUGCCUGGUGUCCCUCCCCAGGCUGUUCAGCUGGGCGCUGCUGCGGUUCCUGAACUGCCUCUUCCUGAAUGUGCAGCUCCACAAGGGUCAGAUGAAGAUGGUCCAGAAGGCCGCCCAGGCAGGCUCGCCACUUGUCCUCCUCUCUACUCACAAACCUCCUGGACGGGAUCCUGCUACCCUUUAUGCUGCUCUCCCAGGGCCUGGGUGUGCUCCGUGUGGCCUGGGACUCCCGCGCCUGCUCCCCUGCCUCAGGUAAAAAGCUUUUGCCUCUAGACAUACGUGGGAGAAGCCG